UACGUAGGGGGCAAGCGUUGUCCGGAUUUAUUGGGCGUAAAGAGCGUGUAGGCGGUUUGGUAGGUCCGUUGUGAAAACUCGAGGCUCAACCUCGAGACGCCGGCGGAAACCAUCAGGCUAGAGUCCGGAAGAGGAGAGUGGAAUUCCUGGUGUAGCGGUGAAAUGCGCAGAUAUCAGGAAGAACACCCGUGGCUAAGGCGGCUCUCUAGUACGGUACUGACGCUGAGACGCGAAAGCGUGGGAGCAAACAGG
Molecule: ribosomal RNA, 252 nt
Filed under: uncultured bacterium
Lineage: Bacteria
Description: partial 16S ribosomal RNA
Rfam family: Bacterial small subunit ribosomal RNA
Source: RNAcentral